UCUAAUUUUACCAUUAACAAAAGACCGAAAAAUUUUAUGCUGUAUUUGAUUUGAUAAAAAAUAAGAGAAAAAUAAAAAGUUGAGGGAAAUUUGUUGACAACACAAACGAAAAGGGACAAAGAAGUUAUGGGACGUGCAGGAGAGUUGUUAGAAUAAGUAAUUUAUCCCAAUUCUUCCCAACAAAAGAAAGAAACAUCUGAUCUGAGUUCAAAUCUGCCCCCGCACCCAGUUUUUCCCCACAAAUGCCCCACACGCUCACGAGCCGCCACCUGUCCCUUCACACGAGAUACGUAAGUAGCGCGUGCGGGGCUAACAUAACGUUCGUUAAUCCCUUCCGUUACCCCCCAAAAGUCCCAUUUACUCCUUCACCCUUCAUUCGACAGCUCCAGGUUAGGUAUCUCAAGACCCUCUUCUUCCUCUCCUCCCUCUCGAGUGCCUGACCCUAACUGUUUCUCCCUUGCCAGAGCAUCUUCUCCUUCUCCUUACUCCCCGACCCAUCUUUUCACCUCGUUUUUUAUUUUUUCUUUAUUUUUUCUGAUGUUUUCGUUUUCCAGAUAUCAGAUAAACCGGCGACAUUUGUCAUCUUCCCCUUCUCCGGCACCGGCACCUACAACGGCAACCGGCAAUAUCAGAGAAACCGGCGGACCAGAUCAUUUGACACUCCAUUACUGAAUAGUGAAUUCACACAUGUGAAGGAGUGAUCAGAUGUAACUGAAAUUGAAGGAAAGGAGAAAUAAGGGUGUAGGCAUUUUCUAGUGGCUUUGGUGUACAACCCACGCUUGAUGAGCAAAUUGGAGUUGGCCGGGGGACCAGAUCAAUUAAUGCAGUGGGUAGCCAUGUCUUCAGUACUGUUUCUUCUUCAUCGCAGCUGGGCUACUUUUUUUAUAGAGUCGUAGCUGAACAAAACAAACAACAGUUGGAGGUCCCACAAGCUUUUUAAUGGUUUUGUUCUAGCAAGGUGAGAUGUCUACCUCUCUCUUUCUCUCUCUCAGGCUCAACGCUGUGCAUGGGUCAGUGGAUGUGUGGGGUAGUUCUGUUCUUGGAGUUGCCAUUCUUAUCUAGGCCUAACCCAGUCAGUGCAACUGUGCAAUGACAUAUUUAGCCUCUCCUUCCACACUAACCACCUGGGAAUCUGGAAUUUCUUCAGAGACAAAAACCCAGCUACACAGUUCAUGGAAUUGCAGUCAGUUCAUCAAAAUAAACAGAAAUUAAUACAGAAUUAUCCCAUCAGAUCUCAAGCAAUUAGAAUUAAUGGUCACCAUGACUGAUGACUCUGAAAGUCUUCACCAUCAGCCAGUUAGCAAAUUAAUAAUGGAGUUUGACUCAAUAAGUUUAUCUGUGCGGUUGGUGCUGUAGGUGGGGGGCCGCGCAAGUCACGUAAGCUGGAAGUCUCGUCAAUCGAUCAAUAAACAAAUUAAAAAAACCAAAGAUUAACCAGUUUUGAUCAUCUAAACAAAUGGUUUAAUUUGCAGCAGCUGCAUUAAUUAAAGAAGAGAUGAAGAUGGUCUGCAUAUUGAUGAAAUUCUUGAUGAUGAGAUGAAAGACUGAAGAGAUAGUCACCACCUUCAAUGAGUGAAAAGAUCAGAAAAAAAAA
Molecule: non-coding RNA, 1594 nt
Organism: Nelumbo nucifera (sacred lotus)
Lineage: Eukaryota; Viridiplantae; Streptophyta; Magnoliopsida; Proteales; Nelumbonaceae
Source: RefSeq, a predicted model, not a curated record